This 17-nucleotide unclassified non-coding RNA is filed under the name Mus musculus (house mouse). RNAcentral's name for it is "oocyte_clustered_small_RNA969". The record is from RNAcentral. Lineage: Eukaryota; Metazoa; Chordata; Mammalia; Rodentia; Muridae.
UUUGGGUGCUGGGGAGG